RNAcentral lists this ribosomal RNA (440 nucleotides) under uncultured bacterium. RNAcentral's name for it is "partial 16S ribosomal RNA". It matches the Rfam family "Bacterial small subunit ribosomal RNA", at positions 338 to 795 of the family's 1533-position model. The record is from RNAcentral.
CCUACGGGAGGCAGCAGUGGGGAAUAUUGCACAAUGGGGGAAAGCCUGACGCAGCGACGCCGCGUGAGUGAUGAAGUAAUUCGUUAUGUAAAGCUCUAUCAGCAGGGAAGAAAAGGACGGUACCUGAGCAAGAAGCACCGGCUAAUUACGUCCCAGCAGCCGCGGUAAUACGGAGGGGGCGAGCGUGAUCCGGAUUUACUGGGUGUAAAGGGAGCGUAGACGGCAGUGCAAGUCUGGAGUGAAAGGCGGGGGCUCAACCCCCGGACUGCUCUGGAAACUGUACGGCUGGAGUGCAGGAGAGGUAAGUGGAAUUCCUGGUGUAGCGGUGAAAUGCGUAGAUAUUAGGAGGAACAUCAGUGGCGAAGGCGGCUUACUGGACUGUAACUGACGUUGAGGCUCGAAAGCGUGGGGAGCAAACAGGAUUAGAUACCCCAGUAGUC